Molecule: ribosomal RNA, 315 nt
Filed under: Triticum aestivum (bread wheat)
Lineage: Eukaryota; Viridiplantae; Streptophyta; Magnoliopsida; Poales; Poaceae
Description: partial small subunit ribosomal RNA
Source: RNAcentral
AUGCCGGCUACCCAAACCGGCAGAAGAAGGAAAAAAAAGAAGAAGAGUCGGUUGACUGCUGCUGGGUCAACAAAGUGUGCCGACUGGCAACCUAGUCGGGUGCUAAAAAAUAAAGAAUGGCCGACUGCCUCAAAAAGCAGAAAGAAAGAAAGAGAUGCGGGCCGACUGCUCCCAUCAACACGGACACAAGGGCGAAACGUCCUGCUGCCCGUUGCCAACAGACGGACAAAGAGAAGAAGAAAAAACAUCAACUUCAAUAAAGAAGACAAAGUAGUUGUCGGAAGAUCCUGCCCGACUACUCAGCAGUCGGCCUGA